This 119-nucleotide ribosomal RNA is filed under the name Meriones unguiculatus (Mongolian gerbil). Lineage: Eukaryota; Metazoa; Chordata; Mammalia; Rodentia; Muridae. The record is from RNAcentral.
GCUUACGGCCAUGCCACCCUGAACGCGCCCGACCUCGUCUGAUCUCGGAAGCUAAGCAGGGUCGGGCCUGGUUAGUACUUGGAUGGGAGACCGCCCGGGAAUACCGGGUGCUGUAGGUU